Molecule: ribosomal RNA, 530 nt
Filed under: Amblyodipsas polylepis
Lineage: Eukaryota; Metazoa; Chordata; Lepidosauria; Squamata; Lamprophiidae
Description: partial 16S ribosomal RNA
Rfam family: Bacterial large subunit ribosomal RNA
Source: RNAcentral
UCCGACUGUUUAACAAAAACAUAACCUUUAGCCAAACAAGUAUUAAAGGCAACGCCUGCCCAGUGAACAAUUAAACGGCCGCGGUACCCUAACCGUGCAAAGGUAGCGUAAUCACUUGUCUAUUAAUUGUAGACCCGUAUGAAAGGCAAAAUGAGGGCCUAACUGUCUCUUAUAAUAAAUCAAUUAAACUGAUCUCCCAGUACAAAAGCUGGAAUACUAACAUAAGACCAGAAGACCCUGUGAAGCUUAAACUAAACUAUUAAAACACAUAAUAACUACUUUCGGUUGGGGCGACCUUGGAAAAAAAAAGAACUUCCAAAGGCCAACAAGCCAAACAAUAGACCCAGCAAAGCUGAUAAUUGAACCAAGUUACUCCAGGGAUAACAGCGCUAUCUUCCUCAAGAGCCCAUAUCAAAAGGAAGGUUUACGACCUCGAUGUUGGAUCAGGACAUCCUAAUGGUGCAGCCGCUAUUAAGGGUUCGUUUGUUCAACGAUUAACAGUCCYACGUGAUCUGAGUUCARACCGGAGA